UGGGGAAUAUUGCACAAUGGGGGAAACCCUGAUGCAGCCAUGCCGCGUGUGUGAAGAAGGCCUUCGGGUUGUAAAGCACUUUCAGCGAGGAGGAAAGGUUGAUGCCUAAUACGCAUCAGCUGUGACGUUACUCGCAGAAGAAGCACCGGCUAACUCCGUGCCAG
Molecule: ribosomal RNA, 164 nt
Filed under: uncultured bacterium
Lineage: Bacteria
Description: partial 16S ribosomal RNA
Rfam family: Bacterial small subunit ribosomal RNA
Source: RNAcentral